This 253-nucleotide ribosomal RNA is filed under the name uncultured bacterium. RNAcentral describes it as "partial 16S ribosomal RNA". It matches the Rfam family "Bacterial small subunit ribosomal RNA", at positions 524 to 776 of the family's 1533-position model. The record is from RNAcentral.
UACGGGGGGGGCAAGCGUUGUUCGGAAUUACUGGGCGUAAAGGGCUCGUAGGUGGUCAACUAAGUCGGACGUGAAAUCCCUCGGCUUAACCGGGGAACUGCGUCCGAUACUGGAUGACUUGAGUUCGGGAGAGGGAUGCAGAAUUCCAGGUGUAGCGGUGAAAUGCGUAGAUAUCUGGAGGAAUACCGGUGGCGAAGGCGGCAUCCUGGACCGGCAUUGACGCUGAUGAGCGAAAGCUAGGGGAGCAAACGGG